GCCGGCAUGGCUCAGCGGGUUGAGCCUCAACCUAUGAACCCGGAGGUCCGGGUUCGAUUCCCGGUCAGGGCA
RNAcentral lists this transfer RNA (72 nucleotides) under Myotis lucifugus (little brown bat). It matches the Rfam family "tRNA". Rfam says of the family: Transfer RNA (tRNA) molecules are approximately 80 nucleotides in length. Their secondary structure includes four short double-helical elements and three loops (D, anti-codon, and T loops). Lineage: Eukaryota; Metazoa; Chordata; Mammalia; Chiroptera; Vespertilionidae. The record is from Rfam by way of RNAcentral.